RNAcentral lists this ribosomal RNA (1387 nucleotides) under Gloeochaete wittrockiana. RNAcentral describes it as "partial Bacterial large subunit ribosomal RNA". It matches the Rfam family "Bacterial large subunit ribosomal RNA", at positions 10 to 1446 of the family's 2925-position model. Lineage: Eukaryota; Glaucocystophyceae; Gloeochaetales; Gloeochaetaceae. The record is from RNAcentral.
ACUAAGUGCAUGUGGUGGAUGCCUUGGCGAUUACAGGCGAUGAAGGACGUGAUAGCCUGCGAUAAGCUUCGGGGAGCUGGCAAAUUAGCUUUGAUCCGGAGAUUUCCGAAUGGGGAAACCCACCGAAAGGUAUCGCAUGAUGAAUACAUAGUCAUGCGAGGCGAACCGGGUGAACUGAAACAUCUCAGUAGCUCGAGGAAAAGACAUCAACCGAGAUUCCGAAAGUAGUGGCGAGCGAAAUCGGAGAAGCCUGUUAGUGAUAGCACAAGACAUAACGGAACAGCUUGGAAAGGCUGGCCAUAGCGGGUGAUAGCCCCGUACGUGAAAUGACCUGUGUGGUACUGAGCUAACGACAAGUAGGGCGGGACACGAGAAAUCCUGUCUGAAUAUGGGGGGACCAUCCUCCAAGGCUAAAUACUCAUCAUUGACCGAUAGCGAACUAGUACCGUGAGGGAAAGGCGAAAAGAACCCCGGGAGGGGAGUGAAAUAGAUCCUGAAACCGCAUGCAUACAAAAAGUCGGAGCUCGUAAGAGUGACGGCGUACCUUUUGUAUAAUGGGUCAGCGACUUACAUUCAGUGGCAAGGUUAACCGAAUAGGGAAGCCGUAGAGAAAUCGAGUCCGAAUAGGGCGAUCAGUCGCUGGGUGUAGACCCGAAACCAAGUGAUCUAUCCAUGGCCAGGAUGAAGGUGCGGUAACACGCACUGGAGGUCCGAACCGAUUAACGUUGAAAAGUUACCGGAUGAGUUGUGUUUAGGGGUGAAAGGCCAAUCAAGCCGGGAAAUAGCUGGUUCUCCGCGAAAACUAUUGAGGUAGUGCCUCGGACGAAUACCUUGGGGGGUAGAGCACUGGAUGGAUGCGGGGGUCGCGAGACCUACCAACUCUAACCAAACUCCGAAUACCCAAGAGUACUAUCCGGCAGACAGACGGUGGGUGCUAACGUCCAUCGUCAAAAGGGAAACAACCCUGACCGCCAGCUAAGGCCCCCAAAUCAUGGCUAAGUGUGAAAGGAUGUGGGGAUCCCAAAACAACCAGGAUGUUGGCUUAGAAGCAGCCAUCAUUUAAAGAAAGCGUAACAGCUCACUGGUCUAAAUAAGGGUCUUUGCGCCGAAAAUGUAACGGGGCUAAAGCCAUACACCGAAGCUUAGGGUUCGCAGUAAUGCGAGCGGUAGCGGAGCGUUCUGUAAGCUGAUGAAGCCGUACCCGUGAGGGGCGGUGGAGGUAUCAGAAGUGCGAAUGCUGACAUGAGUAGCGUUAAAGGGGGUGAAAAGCCCCCUCGCCGUAAGCGCAAGGUUUUCUACGCAACGUUCAUCGGCGUAGAGUGAGUCGGCCCCUAAGGCGAGGCAGAGAUGCGUAGCUGAUGGGAAACAGGUCAAUAUUCCUGUACCG